This is a non-coding RNA of Pelobates cultripes (western spadefoot toad), 213 nucleotides long. Lineage: Eukaryota; Metazoa; Chordata; Amphibia; Anura; Pelobatidae. The record is from the annotation of a GenBank genome assembly.
GGCAGCAGGUCAGCUUUUGCUAGCUAGUCGUCACUGAAACAAAAUGCAUAUAGGAGUCAAUAAGACCCCUAAAUAAAAUCUUCUACUAAAAUAUAAAUAACUAGCCCAUGGGUUACAGGAUAGGGUAUUAGAAAAAGGGGGGAAACUGUCUGCACAGCAGCAGAAGGCUUAACAAAUUAGCAAUUGUACUAGGAUUGGACACUUUACUCCAUC